Molecule: ribosomal RNA, 510 nt
Filed under: uncultured bacterium
Lineage: Bacteria
Description: partial 16S ribosomal RNA
Rfam family: Bacterial small subunit ribosomal RNA
Source: RNAcentral
GACGAACGCUGGCGGCGUGCCUAACACAUGCAAGUCGAACGAAGAGCGACGGAAGCUUGCUUCUAUCAAUCUUAGUGGCGAACGGGUGAGUAACGCGUAAUCAACCUGCCCUUCAGAGGGGGACAACAGUUGGAAACGACUGCUAAUACCGCAUACGAUCUAACCUCGGCAUCGAGGAUAGAUGAAAGGUGGCCUCUACAUGUAAGCUAUCACUGAAGGAGGGGAUUGCGUCUGAUUAGCUAGUUGGAGGGGUAACGGCCCACCAAGGCGAUGAUCAGUAGCCGGUCUGAGAGGAUGAACGGCCACAUUGGGACUGAGACACGGCCCAGACUCCUACGGGAGGCAGCAGUGGGGAAUCUUCCGCAAUGGACGAAAGUCUGACGGAGCAACGCCGCGUGAGUGAUGACGGCCUUCGGGUUGUAAAGCUCUGUUAAUCGGGACGAAAGGCCUUCUUGCGAAUAGUGAGAAGGAUUGACGGUACCGGAAUAGAAAGCCACGGCUAACUACGUG